Molecule: long non-coding RNA, 665 nt
Organism: Corapipo altera (White-ruffed manakin)
Lineage: Eukaryota; Metazoa; Chordata; Aves; Passeriformes; Pipridae
Exons: 4
Source: RefSeq, a predicted model, not a curated record
GAGCACUGGCGUUUCCUGAGCACAAGCAAAUGCCUGACACAUGGACUUCGCCGAAUUCCAAAAUGUAGCAAAACAGUGCCUGCAUAUUUGGCAGGAAUCACCACCAGUUCAGGUCAGUGUCUGUUUCAGCAGAAGACGAAGCCCUGCAUGUUAACAGAGGAAAAUAAUUCAGAGGAAAAGGGGAGGAACAACAUGUGACAUUUUAUCCCAGACUGUCCACCCUGCUCUCAGGAGAGACUGAUAAAGCAGUUUUGUGAAGUAAUAGACAGAGCUUGGAAAUGGUGACAAACACAAGAGACUUCACAAUGACCUUGGGGAAGUUUUGUAACUGUUCUGUGCCCUACUGAAAUGUGGAGACAAUGCUUGUAUGAGUGCUUUUUUGCUAAAUCUUCAAGAACAAUGUCCUUUCGGGUGAUACAUUGAAACCACAAGUGCCAGAGGGGAAAAAACCUGCCACUGAAAUGCGUGGAGAUAUGAAUGACAGACUGUUCACUUAACUUAUACAUUCAAAAAUAUCUACUUUGUCCUUCCGAGAGUGAAAUGGCUGCUUUGACAUAACUGUGGUCUCUUAUAUGAUGUUAAUCCAUAGUGUCGAAGCCAUUAUAAUUCUAGUUCAGAUGUACAUAUUUUAAAAAAGAAUUCUAAGAAAAAGUUAUUUUACAUAC